AUAUUAGAACAAAAGACACUUGGAGUCUUACUCUACAUAUAUUAGGACAAAAGACACUUGGAGUCUUACUCUACACAAACUAGGAUAAAAGACACUUGGAGCCUUACUCUACACAUAUUAGAACAAAAGACACUUGGAGUCUUAGUCUCACAUAUUAGGACAAAAGACACUUGGAGUCUUACUCUACACAAACUAGAACAAAAGACACUUGGAGUCUUACUCUACACAAACCAGGACAAAAGACACUUGGAGUCUUACUUUACACAUAUUAGGUCAAAAGACACUUGGAGUCUUAUUCUACACAAACUAGGACAAAAGACAGUCUUUCUCUACAUAUAUUGACAAAAGACACCUGACGCCUUACUCUACACUUAUUAGAACAAAAGAAGAGAUGCAAAGCUCCUGCACGUCAAAGUGAGAUUGAUAAAAUCAUGGCAAAAACAAAACAAAAAAAAAGAGCAACAGUCUACAAUCUACAUAAUAUUACAUAAAACUCUGAAGUCUGAACUAUGUAAUAAAAAAGUUAAUCUCUGGUGCUCCUGCUCCUGCUCAUCAUAUAGCACCAUCCAUCUUUCUGCCCAUUUCUUUGUCUGUCCCAUUUUCAUUUCUGCAAUCUAACUGAAGUUUGCCUCAUGCAAAUUUAACUUUAUAAAACUCAUACACAAUGCUAAGAACCACAACACUUAAACAUAGUUUUAUUUGAGGAUGAGAGUCAUUUACUGUUCUAGAGUUGGAAAAUUGCAAAGCUUGAGCAGAGCCAUUCUACUUUUAUUUUAGUUUGAAUAAAGAUUAUACUAUAUGCAGUUGUAAACCAAUGUUUUUUCCCAGUUCUCUAACUACCUUGCUUAAGGAGGCUCGAGGGUAUAAAAAUUUCAGAAAAAAAUCAAACAUUUGUUUUUAAUUACAAAUUUUAUUUAUUUCCUUUUAAUUGUUACUUUAUCAUAUGGUACAAAAAUCUUUCAAAACAAUCAAUUCGUGUUGGCCCC
This 986-nucleotide long non-coding RNA is filed under the name Mytilus galloprovincialis (Mediterranean mussel). The record is from RNAcentral. Lineage: Eukaryota; Metazoa; Mollusca; Bivalvia; Mytilida; Mytilidae.